This 403-nucleotide ribosomal RNA is filed under the name uncultured bacterium. RNAcentral describes it as "bacterial SSU rRNA". It matches the Rfam family "Bacterial small subunit ribosomal RNA", at positions 32 to 414 of the family's 1533-position model. The record is from RNAcentral.
AAUCAACGCUGGCGGCGUGCCUCAGACAUGCAAGUCGAACGAGAAAGUUUCCUUCGGGAGACGAGUACAGUGGCGUCCGGGUGAGUAACACGUGGGUAAUUUACCUUGGGUGGGGAAUAGCAGCCGGAAACGGCUAUUAAUACCGCAUAAUGCAGCGGCUCGACAUCGAGACAGUUGUUAAAGCGGGGAUCUGACAAGGACCUCGCGCCUAAAGAGAAGCCUGCGCAGAUUAGCUAGUUGGUAGGGUAAUGGCCUACCAAGGCUGUGAUCUGUAGCCGGCCUGAGAGGGCGGUCGGCCACACUGACACUGACACACGGGUCAGACUCCUACGGGAGGCAGCAGUCGGGAAUUUUGGGCAAUGGGCGAAAGCCUGACGCAGCGACGCCGCGUGAGGGAUGACGG